AAAUUGAAGAGUUUGAUCAUGGCUCAGAUUGAACGCUGGCGGCAGGCCUAACACAUGCAAGUCGAACGGUAACAGGAAGCAGCUUGCUGCUUCGCUGACGAGUGGCGGACGGGUGAGUAAUGUCUGGGAAACUGCCUGAUGGAGGGGGAUAACUACUGGAAACGGUAGCUAAUACCGCAUAAUGUCGCAAGACCAAAGAGGGGGACCUUCGGGCCUCUUGCCAUUGGAUGUGCCCAGAUGGGAUUAGCUUGUUGGUGGGGUAACGGCUCACC
This 272-nucleotide ribosomal RNA is filed under the name Escherichia coli. RNAcentral's name for it is "partial 16S ribosomal RNA". It matches the Rfam family "Bacterial small subunit ribosomal RNA", at positions 1 to 269 of the family's 1533-position model. Lineage: Bacteria; Pseudomonadati; Pseudomonadota; Gammaproteobacteria; Enterobacterales; Enterobacteriaceae. The record is from RNAcentral.